CAGUAGCCGCGGUAAUACGGAGGGUGCAAGCGUUAAUCGGAAUUACUGGGCGUAAAGCGCACGCAGGCGGUCUGACAAGUCAGAUGUGAAAUCCCCGGGCUUAACCUGGGAACUGCAUUUGAAACUGUCAGGCUGGAGUCUUGUAGAGGGGGGUAGAAUUCCAGGUGUAGCGGUGAAAUGCGUAGAGAUCUGGAGGAAUACCGGUGGCGAAGGCGGCCCCCUGGACAAAGACUGACGCUCAGGUGCGAAAGCGUGGGGAGCAAACAGGAUUAGAUACCGUGUAGUCCCUGUCUCUUAUACA
This 301-nucleotide ribosomal RNA is filed under the name uncultured bacterium. RNAcentral's name for it is "partial 16S ribosomal RNA". It matches the Rfam family "Bacterial small subunit ribosomal RNA", at positions 509 to 808 of the family's 1533-position model. The record is from RNAcentral.